Camellia sinensis is the source of this 596-nucleotide non-coding RNA. The record is from RefSeq and is a predicted model, not a curated record. NCBI's taxonomy places the organism in Eukaryota, Viridiplantae, Streptophyta, Magnoliopsida, Ericales, Theaceae.
UUCUUGUGUUUUGGAUCUUGAUUUUGGUGCUUCGUGCAAAUUUGUCAAGUAUCAUGUUUUUCUUGUAUUUUGAAUCUUGAUUUUGGUGUUUCGUGCUCAUUUAGGUAUCAUAGAUUCAUAGGUGUAGAGGAAUAGGGAAGUGGAUGAUAGAUAUAUCUGUAAGUUUCUGAAUAAACUUGUAUAUUCAACUUGGAUCGUAUGGAGGUUGGGAAGACCCAAAUUGCGAACUUCGGGGUCAUUUUGUAGGCCAUUACUUGAGUGCCUCAGCACAGAUGUGGGCUAGCACCCACAAUUAUACUCUCAAAAAGAAAAUGUAUGCACUCGUCUCUGCUUUGUCUGCCUGUCAAGAUAAAAUGGGUACAGGAUAUCUUUCUGCUUUUCCUCCUGAGCUAUUUGAUUGUUUUGAAGCUAUAAAACCAGUUUGGGCACCAUAUUACACCAUUCACAAGAUACUGGCAGGUCUUUUGGAUCAACACAUAUUUGCCAAUAAUAAUCAAGCUUUAAAGAUAGUGACAUGGAUGGUUGACUACUUUUACAAGCGUGUUUAGAAUGUGAUAGUGAAGUACACUAUUGAAAAACACUGGCUAUCAUUAAAU